ACCUUAUGAGAGGCAUGCGGCGUGACAGGUGGAGCUUGAGAGUGAAAUGAAUGAUGAUGCCGAAAGAUAUAUGACUAGUGCUCGUCGGACACUUUUCUCCCCCCCUCCGCCCCACUUUCUCCGUAACCUAAACGGCCCUUAGCAGGCAGAUUAGAUAGAACAGAGAAAGGGGAAAAUGUCGUACAUGCGCGGAGACUUGCUAUCCAGGACAAGGAAGUUGGUGAAGGGUCUCGCAAAGCCUACCCCGGUGUGGCUUAAACCCAUGGAAGAGGCGCCGCCGGUGACAUUCCCACGGACGGAUGGGAAGAUCAGGAAGAUUGAAAUGCCGGAGGAUGUAUAUGUCAAGAGAUUCUUCAAGAAGCAUCCGGAUUCUCUCUACCAUGAUGCUGUCAAGAUAAGUGGUUUUGAUCCUCCUCCAGCACACGAGUUUUUGCUUGGCGUGUUUUGGAGCUCAAGGGACAAGGUGUUAGUGAAGAGGAAGCCAUGGCUGUAGCUGAUAUGGAAUAUCGAGCUGAGAAGAAGGCAAAGAAGAAGGCGUACUCUAAGCUGAAGCAAGUUGCACGGUUGCAAGGGAAGAAGCCACCUCCAAAUCCCUACCCGAGUGCCAUUAAAGAAAUACAAGCAGAGGAGAAGAAAUUUGUCCGAGACCGUUUCUUUAAUCCCAAAAUACUUGAGAUUGUGCAGAAGAUGAAAGCAGAAAAAGUUGCAGAGAUGCAAGGACAAAGAGAGUUUGGCAAUGGCAGGGGUGGUGGUGGUCAGCGUGGUGGAUGGAAAGGUGGCCAGCAUCAGUAAUUUAGAUCCGUCGGUACAUAGAUUGAAUUGUUACUUGCUUUUUGCAUCUUGUCAUUUUGGUUAGGAGACUGUCUUUUCCAUGUGAGCAAUCUGAAGUGCAAUAAAGGAUUAUUAUGGAACAAUGAAAAA
RNA transcript from Musa acuminata AAA Group (dessert banana), 921 nucleotides. RefSeq lists it as uncharacterized. The record is from RefSeq and is a predicted model, not a curated record. The transcript is spliced from 5 exons. Lineage: Eukaryota; Viridiplantae; Streptophyta; Magnoliopsida; Zingiberales; Musaceae.